GGAGAGGUGCCGGAGCGGCCGAUCGGGGCGGUCUCGAAAACCGUUGUAGCCAGUUUGGUUACCGUGGGUUCGAAUCCCACCCUCUCCG
This 88-nucleotide transfer RNA is filed under the name Anaerolineae bacterium. RNAcentral describes it as "tRNA-Ser". It matches the Rfam family "tRNA". Rfam says of the family: Transfer RNA (tRNA) molecules are approximately 80 nucleotides in length. Lineage: Bacteria; Bacillati; Chloroflexota; Anaerolineae. The record is from RNAcentral.